Macaca fascicularis (crab-eating macaque) is the source of this 151-nucleotide unclassified non-coding RNA. It matches the Rfam family "Metazoan signal recognition particle RNA". From Rfam's summary of the family: The signal recognition particle (SRP) is a universally conserved ribonucleoprotein. It is involved in the co-translational targeting of proteins to membranes. The record is from Ensembl. NCBI's taxonomy places the organism in Eukaryota, Metazoa, Chordata, Mammalia, Primates, Cercopithecidae.
GCUGGGUGUGGUGGCACAUGCCUGUAGUCCCAGCUACUUAGGAGGCUGAGGUGGGAGGAUUGCUUGAGCCCAGGAAGUUGAGGCUGCAGUGAGCUGAGAUCACAAUGCCACUGCACUCUGGCCUGGGCAACAGAGCAAGACCCUUUCUCAA